Aedes albopictus (Asian tiger mosquito) is the source of this 548-nucleotide long non-coding RNA. RefSeq lists it as uncharacterized. The record is from RefSeq and is a predicted model, not a curated record. NCBI's taxonomy places the organism in Eukaryota, Metazoa, Arthropoda, Insecta, Diptera, Culicidae. The transcript has 3 exons.
UCGAAAGCAAACUUUGGAACGGCUACGCCAGUUAGAGACGGAAAAAUCGAGGAAAAAAAGUAGAAAUUUGCUUUAAAUGGAGCGAAAACUAUACAAACGGUGCGCCCCGGAACGCCGGGCCGCAGAAUAUUUAUCGUCCACGGGGAAAUGGCUCUUGCCGGAGCUCUCCAUCAGAAUAAAGCAAAGAAGGAGCUUCUGUAAACAGAUGACUUAUUUAUGUUUGGUCGAUCCGAGCGUAUUCCUUGGGCCGCUAAUGAAGGCUGAAUGUUCCGAGAAAAUCACCCGCACGACAGCGAGCCUAUCGUCGUUAAUCAAUGAAUUCCUGUCGUCCUUGCUGACUUAGUUUGGAUCGCAUUGCCGUUGUGGUGACCGACGGGACCGACGAGACGGGACGUUACGGACGAUGUGCGGACGAAGAUUGCCCAAGUUUCUUAUGACAAUCAAUACUAAUCCACCCACAUGGCGAACAUUAUCAUGGACAACCCCUUCCUGGCAACCUAGAGGAUUGGACAAGUUUGACAGGAUCCAUAUUUUGGUGCUAUAAUUGA